CCUACGGGAGGCAGCAGUGGGGAAUAUUGGACAAUGGGCGCAAGCCUGAUCCAGCCAUGCCGCGUGAGUGAUGAAGGCCUUAGGGUUGUAAAGCUCUUUCACCGGGGAAGAUAAUGACGGUAUCCGGAGAAGAAGCCCCGGCUCACUUCGUGCCAGCAGCCGCGGUAAU
Molecule: ribosomal RNA, 169 nt
Filed under: uncultured bacterium
Lineage: Bacteria
Description: partial 16S ribosomal RNA
Rfam family: Bacterial small subunit ribosomal RNA
Source: RNAcentral